CCUACGGGAGGCAGCAGUGGGGAAUAUUGGACAAUGGGCGAAAGCCUGAUCCAGCAAUGCCGCGUGAGUGAUGAAGGCCUUAGGGUUGUAAAGCUCUUUUACCAGGGAUGAUAAUGACAGUACCUGGAGAAUAAGCUCCGGCUAACUCCGUGCCAGCAGCCGCGGUAAUACGGAGGGAGCUAGCGUUGUUCGGAAUUACUGGGCGUAAAGCGUACGUAGGCGGUUAUUCAAGUCAGAGGUGAAAGCCUGGAGCUCAACUCCAGAACUGCCUUUGAAACUAGGUAGCUAGAAUCACGGAGAGGUUAGUGGAAUUCCGAGUGUAGAGGUGAAAUUCGUAGAUAUUCGGAAGAACACCAGUGGCGAAGGCGACUAACUGGACGUGUAUUGACGCUGAGGUACGAAAGCGUGGGGAGCAAACAGGAUUAGAUACCCUGGUAGUCCACGCCGUAAACGAUGAUAACUAGCUGUUCGGUCUCUACGAGACUAGUAGUGGCGCGACGCGUACGACAUUAAGUUAGUACCGUCCGUCGGGUAGGUACGGUCGGCGAAGAAGUUAAAACGUUAAACGUUAAGUAAGUUAGUACGGUUCGUUGUAGACGUUGACCGACGGACGACGACGAGGGAGGAGG
This 629-nucleotide ribosomal RNA is filed under the name uncultured bacterium. Its description in RNAcentral is "bacterial SSU rRNA". The stretch from base 1 to 525 matches the Rfam family "Bacterial small subunit ribosomal RNA", at positions 338 to 873 of the family's 1533-position model. The record is from RNAcentral.